AGGUGAGUGUUCAUUUGCAAGUGACUUUCUGAAACCAAAUCUACCCUUCUUUUAAUAUAAAUGAACAUGCAUUUUGGGAUAUUAUACCAUGUACACUGGUUCAAUUGGUGUUUGUUUUUGUCUGUAUCCUGUAUGUUUAUGUAAUAGUUGAUGAGGCAGGAAGAACUAUUUGAUGUCAGUUAAGAAAUUAUUUUAUGCAGUCACGAAAAUAAUAAUGAUUAUACAAAGGAAGAUACUCUUUGGAACUCCAAUCAAUCACCAUGAUGAUCUUUUAUCUCCUUUCAGUGAUCCAACAUAGAAUGUUUUAUCUUCUGGGAAAGCAUCAAAAUCAAAACUAAUAAAACCCUUUUCAAAGCAAAAGGUAUUCUGAAAUUUAGCAUCAACACUCUUCCUAAUAUAAUGGGAAGCAGGAAUAGUAUAUUGCGAAUGUUGUCAGAAGAGUUUCACAAUGAGAAAGGUGUUCAUUGGUCAUUCAUGAAUCAUGACUCAAACUGUAUUGUAAAUUAUGUAUGAUAGAACGGAUGAUAGGGUAUGUGAUGUAUAGUAUGACUCCUAACUAAAUCAUUACCUUCCAAUUAUUUUUAUUUAGCUUAAUGUAAUAGAAAAACGAAUUAGAAAACAUACAAGGACAUUUGUUGUUUCUGGUCUCUAUGAAGAACUAACAUAUCCCACAUAUGCUUCACAAGUAAAUAUAAUACUUCCCUUUCUUUCCCAUGCACACACUGAAAUUUGAAGGCAAAGUUGUGUUUUGUCAUGACUAUACGCCAACAUUUUGAAGCACCAAAAUUUAAUUAUGACUCUUGGAUAACAAGAUUGUUAAGAUGUUUUUUCUUUAACUUUGGGAUCAGAUUAAAUAAUCUGAUCUGUGACUGCAUUGAAUGAUCCUUGAAUGUGUGUAGAUUGUCUAAUAAUUUGAAUUUAUAUUAUUUAUCAAAAGAGCAUUUUUGCUAUUGGCAUGAUUUGUUGUAAUGCCAAAGGACGUUUCAAUGAGAAGUCAGUCAUGUUGCAGAGCAGGUAAUAGUCUCCACGUGCCAUCAAUACACAUGCAUCUGGUAACUCAUCUGAGUUUCAGAUUGAUGUCUGUGUGUGGGUGUGACGGGUUUCUUUUAUAAACAUGUAAAAGACAUUCACAAUAAUAAAGUCAGACUAUUCAACUUGACUAGAGCUUUUGCUAUUGAGUGGAAUGCUGUGAUACAAUUCUUAACAAUUUGUGAUCUAUUAUGUAUUUAGGGAAUUAAUGGGAGAUUUUAGGUUAAAUCAUGUAUGGCAUUGACUGUGUUUAAGGGAGACAUUACAUUAUAUUUUUGUCUUUUCAAUUAUAUCUAUCAUAAUGGGUCUGUUUUCUAAUAACUUGCCAGGUUAGUAAUGUAAAUUUGAUGGGUUGUUUUAAAUGUGUAAAUAUAGCAUAUUUACAAGUUAUAAAUGGAAGAUUUUAUGUUGAUAGGUAGUUGGUAUUCGAGGCAUAAUUCUAGUGGACAUUGCUUUAUUGCAUCUAAAUUGGUGAAUUCUUUACCUGUUGCUGAUGAGAAUUUGAAUUCUCUGAAGAAGCAAGCUAUUGAUAAAGAGAGUCAACUGAUACGAUUUGUAAACAGAGAGAGUUAUUAAUGGUUUUAUUUGAAGAUAAGCAAUGAAAUUUUCUAGUGGACCAAUUCAAACAGGAGUUCUACAAGUUAUAUUCAGGCAUAUCGUGAUCGGAUUUAUGUUGGUAAUGUUCAAGAGUUACGUUCUAUGUUAUAUCCAUAUGUAGCUUACGUUCGUACUGGUUUCUCAUGUGGAAACAUAGAAGGGUUUUUAUCACUGCUAAUUGGUAUCUUAGUUUAUGCAUUAAUUACGGUGGAUGCAUUCACCACAGUUUUAGAAUUGUUGUGAAUCCAUAGCUGUUGAAUAUCCACAUUUGGUGACUUGAGCUU
Long non-coding RNA from Vigna radiata var. radiata (mung bean), 1910 nucleotides. RefSeq lists it as uncharacterized. The transcript is spliced from 2 exons. NCBI's taxonomy places the organism in Eukaryota, Viridiplantae, Streptophyta, Magnoliopsida, Fabales, Fabaceae. The record is from RefSeq and is a predicted model, not a curated record.